GUGACCUCAAAUCAGGUAGGACUACCCGCUGAACUUAAGCAUAUCAAUAAGCGGAGGAAAAGAAACUAACAAGGAUUCCCCUAGUAACUGCGAGUGAAGCGGGAAAAGCUCAAAUUUAAAAUCUGGCGGUCUUUUGGCUGUCCGAGUUGUAAUCUAGAGAAGUGCUAUCCGCGCUGGACCGUGUACAAGUCUCCUGGAAUGGAGCAUCAUAGAGGGUGAGAAUCCCGUCUUUGACAUGGACUACCAGGGCUUUGUGAUGCGCUCUCAAAGAGUCGAGUUGUUUGGGAAUGCAGCUCAAAAUGGGUGGUAAAUUCCAUCUAAAGCUAAAUAUUGGCGAGAGACCGAUAGCGAACAAGUACCGUGAGGGAAAGAUGAAAAGAACUUUGGAAAGAGAGUUAAACAGUACGUGAAAUUGCUGAAAGGGAAACGCUUGAAGUCAGUCGCGUCAUCCAGGGAUCAACCUUGCUUUUGCUUGGUGCACUUUCUGGUUUGAUGGGUCAGCAUCAAUUUUGACCAUUGGAAAAAGGUCAAGGGAAUGUGGCAUCUUUGGAUGUGUUAUAGCCCUUGGUCACAUACAAUGGCUGGGAUUGAGGAACUCAGCACGCCGCAAGGCCGGGUUUUUAACCACGUUCGUGCUUAGGAUGCUGGCAAUAUGGCUUUAAUCGACCC
This 669-nucleotide ribosomal RNA is filed under the name Cortinarius cf. stemmatus PK5849. RNAcentral describes it as "eukaryotic LSU rRNA". It matches the Rfam family "Eukaryotic large subunit ribosomal RNA", at positions 1 to 650 of the family's 3401-position model. The record is from RNAcentral. Lineage: Eukaryota; Fungi; Basidiomycota; Agaricomycetes; Agaricales; Cortinariaceae.